GCGGGUGUAGCACAAUGGCAGUGCGCCAGCCUUCCAAGCUGGUUACGUGGGUUCGAUUCCCAUCGCCCGCUCCA
Molecule: transfer RNA, 74 nt
Filed under: Chloroflexota bacterium
Lineage: Bacteria; Bacillati; Chloroflexota
Also listed under: 2 other names
Description: Chloroflexi bacterium tRNA-Gly
Rfam family: tRNA
About the family: Transfer RNA (tRNA) molecules are approximately 80 nucleotides in length. Their secondary structure includes four short double-helical elements and three loops (D, anti-codon, and T loops). Further hydrogen bonds mediate the characteristic L-shaped molecular structure. tRNAs have two regions of fundamental functional importance: the anti-codon, which is responsible for specific mRNA codon recognition, and the 3' end, to which the tRNAs corresponding amino acid is attached (by aminoacyl-tRNA synthetases). tRNAs cope with the degeneracy of the genetic code in two manners: having more than one tRNA (with a specific anti-codon) for a particular amino acid; and 'wobble' base-pairing, i.e. permitting non-standard base-pairing at the 3rd anti-codon position.
Source: RNAcentral